RNAcentral lists this ribosomal RNA (451 nucleotides) under uncultured Chloroflexota bacterium. RNAcentral's name for it is "bacterial SSU rRNA". It matches the Rfam family "Bacterial small subunit ribosomal RNA", at positions 920 to 1382 of the family's 1533-position model. Lineage: Bacteria; Bacillati; Chloroflexota. The record is from RNAcentral.
CCCGCACAAGCAGCGGAGCGUGUGGUUUAAUUCGAUGCAACGCGAAGAACCUUACCAGGGUUUGACAUGCUUAAAGUAGGAACUCGAAAGAGGGACGACCUGUAUCCAGUCAGGAGUUUGCACAGGUGCUGCAUGGCUGUCGUCAGCUCGUGCCGUGAGGUGUUAGGUUAAGUCCUGCAACGAGCGCAACCCUCGUCGCUAGUUGUUUUCUCUAGCGAUACUGCCCGUAUAACGUGGAGGAAGGUGGGGAUGACGUCAAGUCAGCAUGGCCCUUACAUCCUGGGCUACACACACGCUACAAUGGGUGAUACAACAGGUUGCAAUAGAGUAAUCUGGAGCCAAUCCCUAAAAUCAUCCUCAGUACGGAUUGCAGGCUGCAACUGCCUGCAUGAAGUUGGAGUUGCUAGUAAACGCAGGUCAGCACACUGCGUUGAAUACGUUCUCGGGCCUU